UACGAUGACGCUGGCGGCGUGCCUAAUACAUGCAAGUCGAGCGAACAGAUGAGAAGCUUGCUUCUCUGAUGUUAGCGGCGGACGGGUGAGUAACACGUGGGUAACCUACCUAUAAGACUGGGAUAACUCCGGGAAACCGGGGCUAAUACCGGAUAAUAUUUUGAACCGCAUGGUUCAAUAGUGAAAGACGGUUUCGGCUGUCACUUAUAGAUGGACCCGCGCCGUAUUAGCUAGUUGGUAAGGUAACGGCUUACCAAGGCGACGAUACGUAGCCGACCUGAGAGGGUGAUCGGCCACACUGGAACUGAGACACGGUCCAGACUCCUACGGGAGGCAGCAGUAGGGAAUCUUCCGCAAUGGGCGAAAGCCUGACGGAGCAACGCCGCGUGAGUGAUGAAGGUCUUCGGAUCGUAAAACUCUGUUGUUAGGGAAGAACAAAUUUGUUAGUAACUGAACAAGUCUUGACGGUACCUAACCAGAAAGCCACGGCUAACUACGUGCCAGCAGCCGCGGUAAUACGUAGGUGGCAAGCGUUAUCCGGAAUUAUUGGGCGUAAAGCGCGCGUAGGCGGUUUCUUAAGUCUGAUGUGAAAGCCCACGGCUCAACCGUGGAGGGUCAUUGGAAACUGGGAAACUUGAGUGCAGAAGAGGAGAGUGGAAUUCCAUGUGUAGCGGUGAAAUGCGCAGAGAUAUGGAGGAACACCAGUGGCGAAGGCGGCUCUCUGGUCUGUAACUGACGCUGAUGUGCGAAAGCGUGGGGAUCAAACAGGAUUAGAUACCCUGGUAGUCCACGCCGUAAACGAUGAGUGCUAAGUGUUAGGGGGUUUCCGCCCCUUAGUGCUGCAGCUAACGCAUUAAGCACUCCGCCUGGGGAGUACGACCGCAAGGUUGAAACUCAAAGGAAUUGACGGGGACCCGCACAAGCGGUGGAGCAUGUGGUUUAAUUCGAAGCAACGCGAAGAACCUUACCAAAUCUUGACAUCCUUUGACCGCUCUAGAGAUAGAGUCUUCCCCUUCGGGGGACAAAGUGACAGGUGGUGCAUGGUUGUCGUCAGCUCGUGUCGUGAGAUGUUGGGUUAAGUCCCGCAACGAGCGCAACCCUUAAGCUUAGUUGCCAUCAUUAAGUUGGGCACUCUAGGUUGACUGCCGGUGACAAACCGGAGGAAGGUGGGGAUGACGUCAAAUCAUCAUGCCCCUUAUGAUUUGGGCUACACACGUGCUACAAUGGAUAAUACAAAGGGCAGCGAAUCCGCGAGGCCAAGCAAAUCCCAUAAAAUUAUUCUCAGUUCGGAUUGUAGUCUGCAACUCGACUACAUGAAGCUGGAAUCGCUAGUAAUCGUAGAUCAGCAUGCUACGGUGAAUACGUUCCCGGGUCUUGUACACACCGCCCGUCACACCACGAGAGUUUGUAACACCCGAAGCCGGUGGAGUAACCUUUUAGGAGCUAGCCGUCGAAGGUGGGACAAAUGAUGGG
RNAcentral lists this ribosomal RNA (1473 nucleotides) under Staphylococcus xylosus. RNAcentral's name for it is "bacterial SSU rRNA". It matches the Rfam family "Bacterial small subunit ribosomal RNA". Lineage: Bacteria; Bacillati; Bacillota; Bacilli; Caryophanales; Staphylococcaceae. The record is from RNAcentral.